Non-coding RNA from Hordeum vulgare subsp. vulgare (domesticated barley), 136 nucleotides. NCBI's taxonomy places the organism in Eukaryota, Viridiplantae, Streptophyta, Magnoliopsida, Poales, Poaceae. The record is from Rfam.
CAUAUACUCCCUCUGUUCCAAAAUUCUUGUCUGAUAUUUAUCUACAAAUGGAUGUAUCUAAAUAUUAAAAUGUCACUAGAUACAUUCAUAUCUACACAAAUGUAAGACAAGCAUUUUGGGACGGAGGGAGUAUACA